GACGAACGCUGGCGGCGUGCCUAAUACAUGCAAGUAGAACGCUGAAGGAGGAGCUUGCUUCUCCGGAUGAGUUGCGAACGGGUGAGUAACGCGUAGGUAACCUGCCUGGUAGCGGGGGAUAACUAUUGGAAACGAUAGCUAAUACCGCAUAAGAGUAGAUGUCGCAUGACAUUUGCUUAAAAGGUGCAACUGCACCACUACCAGAUGGACCUGCGUUGUAUUAGCUAGUUGGUGAGGUAACGGCUCACCAAGGCAACGAUACAUAGCCGACCUGAGAGGGGGAUCGGCCAAACUGGGACUGAGACACGGCCCAGACUCCUACGGGAGGCAGCAGUAGGGAAUCUUCGGCAAUGGACGGAAGUCUGACCGAGCAACGCCGCGUGAGUGAAGAAGGUUUUCGGAUCGUAAAGCUCUGUUGUAAGAGAAGAACGAGUGUGAGAGUGGAAAGUUCACACUGUGACGGUAUCUGACCAGAAAGGGACGGCUAACUACGUG
This 495-nucleotide ribosomal RNA is filed under the name uncultured bacterium. RNAcentral describes it as "partial 16S ribosomal RNA". It matches the Rfam family "Bacterial small subunit ribosomal RNA", at positions 28 to 507 of the family's 1533-position model. The record is from RNAcentral.